This 5373-nucleotide long non-coding RNA is filed under the name Taeniopygia guttata (zebra finch). RNAcentral describes it as "lncRNA (ENSTGUG00000022273.1)". Lineage: Eukaryota; Metazoa; Chordata; Aves; Passeriformes; Estrildidae. The record is from RNAcentral.
AUGACCUGGGAGCAUCCCAGGGGACAGGGGAAGGAUCUGGGAAUAUCCUAUGGGACAGGAAAAUGGCCUGGGAGCAUCCCAGGGGACAGGGGAAGGACUUGGGGACAUCCCAUGGGACAGGAAAAUGCCCUGGGAGCAUCCCAGGGGACAGAAAAAUGGCCUGGGAGCAUCCCAGGGGACAGGGGAAGGAUCUGGGAAUAUCCCAUGGGACAGGAAAAUGACCUGGGAGCAUCCCAUGGGACAGGGGAAGGAUCUGGGAAUAUCCUAUGGGACAGGAAAAUGGCCUGGGAGCAUCCCAGGGGACAGGGGAAGGAGCUGGGGACACCCCAAGGGACAGGGGAAGGAGCUGGGAGCAUCCUAUGGACUGGGAAAAGAAGGUGGGAGCAUCCCACGGGACAGGAAAAUUAUUUGGGAGCAUCCCGGGGGACAGGGGAAGGAUUAGGGGACACCCCAAGGGACAGGAAAAUGCCCUGGGAGCAUCCCAGGGGACAGGGGAAGGAGUUGGGGACACCCCAAGGGACAGGAAAAUGCCCUGGGAGCAUCCCAGGGGACAGGGGAAGGAGUUGGGGACACCCCAAGGGACAGGAAAAUGAUCUGGGAGCAUCCCAGGGGACAGGGGAAGGAUCUGGGGACAACCCAAAGGACAGGAAAAUGACCUGGGAGCAUCCCAGGGGACAGGGGAAGGACUUGGGAACAUCCCAGGGGACAGGGGAAGGAUCUGGGAAUAUCCUAUGGGACAGGAAAAUGGCCUGGGAGCAUUCCAGGGGACAGAGGAAGGAGGUGGGAACAUCCCACAGGACAGGAAAAUUAUUUGGGAGCAUCCCAGGGGACAGGGGAAGGAGGUGGGGACAUCCUAUGGGACAGGAAAAUGGCCUGGGAGCAACCCAGGGGACAAGGAAUAGACUUGGGAACAUCCCAGGGGACAGGAAAACUAUUUGGGAGCAUCCCAGGGGACAGGGGAAGGACUUGGGAACAUCCCAUGGGACAAGAAAAUGCCCUGGGAGCAUCCCAGGGGACAAGGGAAGGAGCUGGGGACACCCCAAGGGACAGCAGGGACAGCGCAGCCCCGUCCCAGAUGGCCUCACCAGCACGGAGCAGGAGGUGUUGUCCAGCAGGAAGAGCUCCUGUCCCACAGCCAGCAGCACCACGGUCACCCUGUCCUGGGCCAGCACAGCCCAGCACGUCGGUGGCUUCUGCAGCCCUGUGGGGACAGCGUGACACCCCCGGGACACAGGGGGACAGCGGGGACAGGAGAGCAGUGGGGGCAGAGGGACAGGCAGUGACAGGGGGACACACAGAGGGGGACUGCGGACAGAGGGCACUGAGGGGUGGUGGGACAAGGAGGGGACACACGGGACAAAGGGGCAGACAGUGGGGACAGAAAAGGACAGAGGGGGACAGGAGGGGACACGGGAACACCCACCAGGGACCUCGGGCAGGCGGCGCAGUUUGAGGUCGUCGAUGUUGGUGGCGAGGGAGAAGCGCAGCGCUCCCGUCAGGAUGGCCACGCCCGUGCCGAACUCCGUGUGGAAAACCUGCGCCUCCAGAACCCGGUUCUGCAGCACCUCCUGCGGGACACGGCCGCCAGGGGACACUGGGGACACUGGGGGACACUGGGGACACUGGGGACACUGGGAUUAUCGGGGACACCAGGGACACCGAUACUGCAGGGACACUGGGGACACUGGGGACACUGGGGAUACCGAGGACACCGGGGACACAAGGGAGACCAGGGACAUUGGGGACACCGGGGACACUGGGGGACACCAGGGACACCAGGGACACCAGGGGCAGCAGGGACACCAGGGGCAGCAGGGACACCAGGGACACCGGGGAUAACGGGGAGACCGGGGACACCAGGGACACUGGGGACACCGGGGAUACUGGGGACACUGGGGACACCAGGAACACCGGGGACACCGGGAACAUCAGGAACACUGGGGACACCGGGGACACCAAUACCGUGGGGACACUGGGGACACUGGGGGACACUGGGAACACUGGGGACACCGGGGACAAUGGGGACACUGGGGACAAUGGGGACACCGAUACCGCAGGGACACCAGGAACACUGGGGACACUGGACACCGGGGGACACUGGGGACACUGGGGGACACCAGGGACACCAGGGACACCGGGACACCAGGGACACCAGGAACACUGGGGGACACCAGGGACACUGGGGGACACUGGACACUGGGGGACACUGGGGACACCGGGGAGACCAGGAACACCAGGAACACCGGGGACACCAGGGACACCGGAGACACUGGGGACACCAUUACUGCAGGGACACUGGGGACACCGGGGACACCAGGAGCACUGGGGACACUGGGGACACCGGGGACACUGGGAACACUGGGGACACCAGGGACAUCGAUACUGCAGGGACACCGGGGACACUGGGGACACCGGGGACACUGAUACUGCAGGGACACCAGGGACACCGGGGGCACCAGGGACACCAGGGGAUACCGGGGAUACCGAGGACACUGGGGACACCGGGGACACCGGGGAGACUGGGGACACCAGGAACACUGGGGACACUGGGGACACCAGGAUUAUCGGGGACAGGUGAGGAGGGGCUGGGAUGGAAUUCCCAGAUUUGCUGUGGCUGCCCCUGGAUCCCUACAAGUGUCCAAGGCCAGGCUGGACAGGCUUGGAGCCACCUGGGAUGGUGGAAGGUGUCCCUGCCUGGGGUAGGGGUGGGGUGGGAUGGGCUGUGAGGUCCCUUCCCACCUGCCCCAUCCCAAACCCCAUCCCAAACCCCAUCCCAAAUCCCAUCCCAAAUCCCGUUCCCUCACGUUUCCCAUGCUGAAGUGCCGCUUGAACUCGCAGAACAGGUUGUAGACCAGGACAGUCCCAUCCUCCUGGAUGCACAGCAGGUCCUCCCCCGCCGUCCAGCCCAGGUGCACCAGGCUGCCGCUCUUCCACUGGGAAUGGCACGGGAAGGGUCAGCCCCGAGCCAGGGAUGGCCCUCCGGGGACACACCUGGGGUGGCUCAGGCCUGACAGCUGGUCCAGGGCUUGGACACCUCACCUGCAGGUCCAACACCUCACCUCCAGGUCCAGCACCUCACCUGGAGGUCCAAAAUCUCACCUGGAGGUCCAACACCUCACCUGGAGGUCCAGGACCUCACCUGCAGGUCCACCACCUCACCUGCAGGUCCAACACCUCACCUGGAGGUCCAACAUCUCACCUGGAGGUCCAGCACCUCACCUGGAGGUCCAACAUCUCAUCCAAAAGUCCAAAACCUCAUCCAGAGAACUGAUACCUCAUCUAGAAGUCCAACACCUCAUCCAGAGGUCCGACACCUCAUCCAGAGGUCCAACACCUCACCUAGAUGUCCAACACCUCAUCCAAAAGCCCAAAACCUCAUCCAGAGAAUUGACGCCUCAUCCAGAGGUCCAACACAUCAUCCAGAGCUCCAACACCCCAACUGGAGGUCCAAUACCUCAUCCAGAGGUCUAUCACCUCAUCCAGAGCUUGGACACCUCACCUGGAGGUCCAACACCUCACCUGGAGGUCUAACAUCUCACCUGCAGAUCCAGCACCUCACCUGCAGGUCCAACACCUCCCCUGGAGGUCCAACAUCUCAUCCAAAAGUCCAAAACCUCAUCCAGAGAACUGACACCUCAUCAGAGGUCCAACACCUCAUCCAGAGAACUGACACCUCAUCCAGAAGUCCAAAACUUCAUCCAGAGGUCCAACACCUCACCUAGAUGUCCAACACCUCAUCCAAAAGCCCAAAACCUCAUCCAGAGAACUGACACCUCAUCCAGAGGUCCAACACAUCAUCCAGAGCUCCAACACCCCAACUGGAGGUCCAAUAUCUCAUCCAGAGGUCUAUCACCUCAUCCAGAGCUUGGACACCUCACCUGGACAUCCAACACCUCAUCUAGAGGUCCAGCACCUCAUCCAGAGGUCCAGCAACUCAUCCAGAGAAGUGACACCCCAUCCAGAGGUCCAACACCCCAUCCAGAGGUCCAACACCCCACCUGCCCUGGCCCUGCAGGUCCCUGCAGUUCUGGCAUUGUCCCUCCACUGCCCCAUGUCCCCUCAGCCCAGGCAGGGGGGAAGGAGGAUGUUCCUGUGGCUCCAGUCCUCAUCCCAUCCUCCUGUCCCAUCCCUGGGCACCAGGGAAAGGAUUCUCCUGCUCCAAACCCAUCCCAUCUUCUCCUUCCAUCCCUCAUCAUCAGAGGAAGGAUUCUCCUGCUCCAAACCCAUCCCAUCUUCAUCAGAGGGAGGAUUCUCCUGCUCCAAACCCAUCCCACCUUCUCCUGGUUCCAUCCCUCAUCAUCAGAGGGAGGAUUCUCCUGCUCCAAACCCAUCCCAUCUUCUCCUUCCAUCCCCCAUCAUCAGAGGAAGGAUUCUCCUGCUCCAAACCCAUCCCAUGCUCUCCUUCCAUGCCAGGCCCCCUGUCCCAACCCCGGGGUGUCCGUCCCCCCCGGCUCACCGGGACACUGGCCAGGAGCAGCCCCGAGGCCGAGUAGAUCUCCAGGAGCGGGCGGGCACCGGGGGUCUUGUCCCGCCGGGAAUUCCUCAGCAGAGCUGGGACAAGGAGGGGACAGUCCCUGAGCCGUGGGUGGCACAGCCCCGGCUUGGGGAGGGGGGAUCGGGGGGCUUCACCCACCUAUGGGACCCCCGUAUGGGGCAGCGGCCACCACACAGUCCCGCAGGUCCUCCCGCAGCCCCCAUUCCAUGGAGUAGAGCUCCAACUUCCUGUGGGACAUGGAGAGAUGGAGCUUGGAGGGAUGGAUGGAUGGAUGAUGGAUGGAUGGAUGGAUGGAUGGAUGGAUGGAUGGAUGGAUGGAUGAUGGAUGAUGGAUGGAUGGAUGAUGGAUGAUGGAUGGAUGAUGGAUGGAUGGAUGGAUGGAUGGAUGAUGGAUGGAUGGAUGAUGGAUGAUGGAUGGAUGGAUGAUGGAUGGAUGGAUGGAUGGAUGGAUGAUGGAGGAUGGAUGGAUGGAUGGAUGGAUGGAUGGAUGGAUGAUGGAUGGAUGGAUGAUGGAUGGAUGGAUGAUGGAUGGAUGGAUGGAUGGAUGAUGGAUGGAUGGAUGGAUGGAUGGAUGGAUGGAUGGAUGACAAAUGGAUGCACAGACAUGCAGCAGGUGCAGGUCUGGCAGAGCCACAGACGAUGCCCGCCCCAAACCAGCCCUGGGACACCCCCGACAAACCCCUGGAGCCCUGAGAUCCACGGACACCCCAAGAACCCCCAUAGACACCAAGGGCUCCCCCAGACCACCCCGAGGAGCCGGGGCCACCUCAGAACCCCCCAGCAACCCACAGGACCCUCCUCCCAGCCAACCCCAAGACCACCCUGAGCCACUUUGACCAUCCCCAGGACCCCCUUCCCAGCCAUCCCCAAGAUCCAUG